RNAcentral lists this ribosomal RNA (486 nucleotides) under uncultured bacterium. Its description in RNAcentral is "bacterial SSU rRNA". It matches the Rfam family "Bacterial small subunit ribosomal RNA", at positions 9 to 526 of the family's 1533-position model. The record is from RNAcentral.
GAGUUUGAUCAUGGCUCAGAACGAACGCUGGCGGCAGGCUUAACACAUGCAAGUCGAGCGGGCCCUUCGGGGUCAGCGGCGGACGGGUGAGUAACGCGUGGGAACGUGCCCUCUUCUCUGGAAUAGCCUCGGGAAACUGAGAUUAAUGCCGGAUACGCCGGAUCAUCGCGAGAUGGUCUGGGAAAGAUUUAUCGGAGGAGGAUCGGCCCGCGUUGGAUUAGGUAGUUGGUGGGGUAAUGGCCUACCAAGCCGACGAUCCAUAGCUGGUUUGAGAGGAUGAUCAGCCACACUGGGACUGAGACACGGCCCAGACUCCUACGGGAGGCAGCAGUGGGGAAUCUUGGACAAUGGGGGCAACCCUGAUCCAGCCAUGCCGCGUGAGCGAUGAAGGCCUUAGGGUUGUAAAGCUCUUUCAGCGGGGAAGAUAAUGACGGUACCCGCAGAAGAAGCCCCGGCUAACUCCGUGCCAGCAGCCGCCGCAGUAAC